Molecule: unclassified non-coding RNA, 330 nt
Filed under: soil metagenome
Description: partial contains 5.8S ribosomal RNA, internal transcribed spacer 2, and large subunit ribosomal RNA
Rfam family: 5.8S ribosomal RNA (bases 1-120)
Source: RNAcentral
GAUGAAGAACGUAGCGAAAUGCGAUAAGUAAUGUGAAUUGCAGAAUUCAGUGAAUCAUCGAAUCUUUGAACGCACAUUGCGCCCCCUGGUAUUCCGGGGGGCAUGCCUGUUCGAGCGUCAUUACAACCCUCAAGCUCUGCUUGGUAUUGGGCCCCGCCAGUUCUGGCGGGCCCUAAAGUCAGUGGCGGUGCCUUCCGGCUCCGAGCGUAGUAAUUCUUCUCGCUCUGGAGACCCGGUCGUGUGCUUGCCAGCAACCCCCAAUUUUUUUCAGGUUGACCUCGGAUCAGGUAGGGAUACCCGCUGAACUUAAGCAUAUCAAUAAGCGGAGGA